CCUACGGGUGGCAGCAGUGGGGAAUAUUGGACAAUGGGCGGAACCCUGAUCCAGCGACGCCGCGUGAGUGAAGACGUAUUUCGGGAUUUAAAACUCUAUCAGUAGGGAAGAAAAGGGCGGUACGUGACUGAGAAGCCCUGGAUAACUACGUGCCAGCAGCCGCGGUAAUACGUAGGGGGCACGGGUUAUCCGGAAUUACUGGGUGUAAAGGGAGCGUAGGCGGUGCAGCAAGUCUGAUGUGAAAGGUCGGGGCCCAACCCCGGGAGUGCAGUGGAAACUGUUGAACUGGAGUACAGGAGAGGUAAGCGGAAUUCCUAGUGUAGCGGUGAAAUGCGUAGAUAUUAGGAGGAACACCAGUGGCGAAGGCGGCUUACUGGACUGUAACUGACGUUGAGGCUCGAAAGCGUGGGGAGCAAACAGGAUUAGAUACCCGUGUAGUC
Molecule: ribosomal RNA, 440 nt
Filed under: uncultured bacterium
Lineage: Bacteria
Description: partial 16S ribosomal RNA
Rfam family: Bacterial small subunit ribosomal RNA
Source: RNAcentral